RNAcentral lists this ribosomal RNA (291 nucleotides) under Triticum aestivum (bread wheat). RNAcentral describes it as "partial small subunit ribosomal RNA". Lineage: Eukaryota; Viridiplantae; Streptophyta; Magnoliopsida; Poales; Poaceae. The record is from RNAcentral.
AUGGACCAUUCCAUCCCUUUUUCCCAUGCAUAUGCAUCAGAUUCGGAUGACGAAGGUCCCAAUGAACAAGUUGAUGAGGAGGGGUUCACAGUGAAGGAGGCCGAAGCUUUCGAGAAGGUAUUCAGUCGGGAUCACAAGACACCAUUGUUCAAGGAUGUUAGUCUCGCGGAUGAAGCCAUUGUGGAUGGUGGCAAAUCUAUAUCUCUUGGGGUUAGGCCAAAGUCUCUCCGUGAUUUAGGAGACGAUAAGAACCGGAUUGCUAAAGGGUCUAAGUUCGAAACCUUCUUGUAA